CUACGUGCCAGCAGCCGCGGUAAUACGCAGGGCGCGAGCGUUGUCCGGAAUUAUUGGGCGUAAAGAGCUUGUAGGCGGUUUGUCGCGUCUGCUGUGAAAGGCCGGGGCUUAACCCCGUGUAUUGCAGUGGGUACGGGCAGACUAGAGUGCAGUAGGGGAGACUGGAAUUCCUGGUGUAGCGGUGGAAUGCGCAGAUAUCAGGAGGAACACCGAUGGCGAAGGCAGGUCUCUGGGCUGUAACUGACGCUGAGAAGCGAAAGCAUGGGGAGCGAACAGGAUUAGAUACCCUGGUAGUCCAUGCCGUAAACGUUGGGCACUAGGUGUGGGGGACAUUCCACGUUUUCCGCGCCGUAGCUAACGCAUUAAGCACUCCGCCUGGGGAGUACGACCGCAAGGUUGAAACUCAAAGGAAUUGACGGGGGCCCGCACAAGCGGUGGAGCAUGUGGUUUAAUUCGAAGCAACGCGAAGAACCUUACCAGGUCUUGACAUCCCUCUGACCGCUCUAGAGAUAGAGUUUUC
This 520-nucleotide ribosomal RNA is filed under the name uncultured bacterium. Its description in RNAcentral is "bacterial SSU rRNA". It matches the Rfam family "Bacterial small subunit ribosomal RNA", at positions 501 to 1016 of the family's 1533-position model. The record is from RNAcentral.